ACGGGUGAGUAACGCGUGAGCAACCAACCUUGUACAGGGGGAUAACAGCUGGAAACAGCUGCUAAUACCGCAUAAGACUACGGGACCGCAUGGUGCUGUAGUAAAAGGCUUUAAGCCGGUACAAGACGGGCUCGCGUCCCAUUAGCUAGUUGGUGGGGUAACGGCCUACCAAGGCGACGAUGGGUAGCCGGCCUGAGAGGGUGUACGGCCACACUGGGACUGAGACACGGCCCAGACUCCUACGGGAGGCAGCAGUGGGGGAUAUUGCGCAAUGGGGGGAACCCUGACGCAGCGACGCCGCGUGAGCGAGGAAGGCCUUCGGGUCGUAAAGCUCUGUCCCCGGGGACGAAGAAGUGACGGUACCCGGGGAGGAAGCCCCGGCUAACUACGUGCCAGCAGCCGCGGUAAUACGUAGGGGGCGAGCGUUGUCCGGAGUUACUGGGCGUAAAGGGUGCGUAGGCGGCCCGUUAAGUCAGGUGUGAAGAACCCUGGCUCAACCGGGGUAUUGCACUUGAAACUGGCGGGCUUGAGUGCAGGAGAGGGGAGUGGAAUUCCUGGUGUAGCGGUGAAAUGCGUAGAUAUCAGGAGGAACACCAGUGGCGAAGGCGGCUCUCUGGCCUGUAACUGACGCUGAGGCACGAGAGCGUGGGGAGCAAACAGGAUUAGAUA
Molecule: ribosomal RNA, 669 nt
Filed under: uncultured bacterium
Lineage: Bacteria
Description: bacterial SSU rRNA
Rfam family: Bacterial small subunit ribosomal RNA
Source: RNAcentral